RNAcentral lists this ribosomal RNA (274 nucleotides) under uncultured bacterium. Its description in RNAcentral is "partial 16S ribosomal RNA". It matches the Rfam family "Bacterial small subunit ribosomal RNA", at positions 523 to 796 of the family's 1533-position model. The record is from RNAcentral.
AUACGGAGGGUGCAAGCGUUAUUCGGAAUCACUGGGCGUAAAGGACGCGUAGGCGGGUUGGCAAGUCAGAUGCGAAAUCCUACAGCUUAACUGUAGAACUGCAUUUGAAACUGCUAACCUAGAGUAUGGGAGGGGGAGAUGGAAUUAGUGGUGUAGGGGUAAAAUCCGUAGAUAUCACUAGGAAUACCGAAAGCGAAGGCGAUCUCCUGGAACAUAACUGACGCUAAGGCGUGAAAGCGUGGGGAGCAAACAGGAUUAGAAACCCUAGUAGUCC